Molecule: ribosomal RNA, 391 nt
Filed under: uncultured archaeon
Lineage: Archaea
Description: bacterial SSU rRNA
Rfam family: Archaeal small subunit ribosomal RNA
Source: RNAcentral
UGCAGCAGGCGCGAAACCUUUACACUGCACGACAGUGCGAUAGGGGGACUCCGAGUGUGAGGGCAUAUAGCCCUCGCUUUUCUGUACCGUAAGGUGGUACAGGAACAAGGACUGGGCAAGACCGGUGCCAGCCGCCGCGGUAAUACCGGCAGUCCGAGUGAUGGCCGAUAUUAUUGGGCCUAAAGCGUCCGUAGCUUGCUGUGUAAGUCCAUUGGGAAAUCGACCAGCUCAACUGGUCGGCGUCCGGUGGAAACUACACAGCUUGGGGCCGAGAGACUCAACGGGUACGUCCGGGGUAGGAGUGAAAUCCUGUAAUCCUGGACGGACCACCAAUGGGGAAACCACGUUGAGAGACCGGACCCGACAUUGAGGGACGAAAUCGCCCGCCGCG